GUCUGGACCUGUCUAGCACCCAAAAGAAGGUCCUUAUUCUGCCCCAGAAUCAUCAAAACUCCCACAGCAGCAGGAACCUACAGACAUCUCUGAAUAGCAACACUUCUCCUCUCUGCCCUGUCACCCUGGUGCUGUUUAAGACAGACAUGGCUCCUUCUCUUCCCCCUGGUUCAUCUGUGAUGCCCCACUCAGCAGGUGAUAGGGGCUCCCUUGGCUCUUCAGCUGUGCUGCAUUAACCUGGAUAUGGAAUAGCCCUGCCCAAAAGCCUGAUGCAGCCUGGAGAUGUGCUCCACAUGGGGUACCCUGUAGGGACACAGUGAUGCUCUUAAGGAGGUGAAGCACUGAAGAGACUACCUCCCCCUUGCCCUGUAUGAGCAAUCCAUCCACAGCUCCUCUUUCACCUGCCCAACUCCACCUCUGGUUUGGGUUCUUUUCCCCUACUACAGACACAAGUUUGCUGAUCAUUAUUCUUGGGGGACUCUAGGAGAGCCAAGGAGUCUCUAGGAGACCAUGAGUGUCCUACCACUGGAGCAGGGCAAGGAGACUCAGCUGCAUGAGAAAUGGAGGCUUUCAAGGCCAGGCAAGAGUUGCAUGUGCUGUCAAAGGCUCUAAUUCCACUUCAGUUAUCUAGAAACCAUCUCAGAACAUCUGCCAGUAAGCACCUGCCAGUCCCAAAUACUGCAGAUUAUUAUGCCAUGUUCCUAGAAAAAAACAUAAUGCAUCUGUCACAUGUAUCUCACUAAGCCCUGAAAGAAGUUCACGUGGAGAGUCUAAGGAAGUGAGAAUCUGCAAUGAAAAAUUCUUUGUAUAUGAGGUAAGUGUUCCAGUCUGUACUACAGUGGGCAGUGAGCAGGGACUGACAUCAUGAUCUCACAAGGACUAAGAGCUGGUUGUGAAUUCUUUUUAUAUAAGCUUAACUGUUCACUGAACACUUCCAGAAUGCUAAGGUGUUGACAGCUUCUUGGACAUUAUAAUCCAAAACAAAUGCUUUUUUUUUUUUUGCAAGGCUGUGACAUAAUACAUCAGAUAACACACUAAUGGGUAUCUGGAAUGCACUCAGGAACUGUAACAUGUAGUAUAGGGAAGGGCCUCUAAAAAAACAGGCUCUGUUUUUUAGAUAUAUUUUUAAGACCUAGAAUGCAUACAGCUCUGCAAUUUAAUAUUCCAAGGCUUUGCAGCAUCAGUGGUAGCUCCAAGGAGAGCUCAGUUUUUCUAACUAGACAAAAUCUUUGACAUAAUGAUCAAGCUCAAAAUUUAUCUGAGUUUAGGAGAUGGCAAGAUGUCUGACUUAGGACUGUGCUGAUACUAUUCCUGCUUCAAUUUUUUAAA
Molecule: long non-coding RNA, 1329 nt
Organism: Parus major (Great Tit)
Lineage: Eukaryota; Metazoa; Chordata; Aves; Passeriformes; Paridae
Exons: 4
Source: RefSeq, a predicted model, not a curated record